This 413-nucleotide ribosomal RNA is filed under the name uncultured microorganism. RNAcentral describes it as "bacterial SSU rRNA". It matches the Rfam family "Archaeal small subunit ribosomal RNA", at positions 330 to 739 of the family's 1478-position model. The record is from RNAcentral.
GUGCAGCAGGCGAGAAACCUCCGCAAUACACGAAAGUGUGACGGGCCAUCCCGAGUGCCGUCCGCUGAGGACGGCUUUUUCCCCAGUGUACAUAGCUGGGGGAAUAAGGAGAGGGCAAGCCUGGUGUCAGCCGCCGCGGUAAUACCAGCGUCUCCGAGUGGUGGGGACGCUUAUUGGGCCUAAAGCAUCCGUAGCCGGCUGGGCAAGUCCUCCGUUAAAUCCAACGAUUCAAUCGUUGGGCUGCGGGGGAUACUGUCCAGCUUGGGGGCGGGAGAGGCCGACGGUAUUCCCGGGGUAGGGGUGAAAUCCUAUAAUCCCCGGGAGGACCACCAGUGGCGAAGGCUGUCGGCUAGAACGCGCCCCGACGGUGAGGGGAUGAAAAGCUGGGGGGAGCGAACCGGAUUAGAUACCCG